This 510-nucleotide ribosomal RNA is filed under the name Polistes pacificus. RNAcentral's name for it is "partial 16S ribosomal RNA". The stretch from base 384 to 510 matches the Rfam family "Bacterial large subunit ribosomal RNA", at positions 2473 to 2600 of the family's 2925-position model. The record is from RNAcentral. Lineage: Eukaryota; Metazoa; Arthropoda; Insecta; Hymenoptera; Vespidae.
GUCUUAUUGAUUAAAUAUAGUAAGUUUAUUCUGCCCAUUGAAAAUUAUUUAAAAGGCUGCAGUAUAUUGACUGUACAAAGGUAGCAAAAUCAAUAGUUUUUUAAUUGAAAACUUGAAUGAAAGAAUGAAUAAAAUAUAAACUGUCUCAAAUUAAAUUAAUGUGAAUUUAAAUUUAAAGUUAAAAUGCUUUAAUAAAUUUAUUAGACGAUAAGACCCUAAGAAUUUAAAAUUAUUUAUUAAUAAAUUUAUUUUAUAAUAUUUGGUUUAUAAAUGAAUAAUUUUUUAUUGGGAGGGUAAUUAAAUUAUUAAACUUUAAUUUGUAUAAACAUAGAUGAAUGAAUAUAAAGAUAAUUAUUAUAAUUAAAAGAGUAAAUUACCUUAGGGAUAACAGCGUAAUAAUUUUGGAGAGUUCAUAUUAAUAAAAUUGUUUGCGACCUCGAUGUUGAAUUAAAAUAAAAAUUAAGUGAAGAAGCUUAAAGUUUUAGUCUGUUCGACUAUUAAAAUUUUACA